Molecule: ribosomal RNA, 406 nt
Filed under: uncultured bacterium
Lineage: Bacteria
Description: partial 16S ribosomal RNA
Rfam family: Bacterial small subunit ribosomal RNA
Source: RNAcentral
AUUGAACGCUGGCGGCAGGCCUAACACAUGCAAGUCGAACGAGUGGCGGACGGGUGAGUAAUGUCUGGGAAACUGCCCGAUGGAGGGGGCUAACUACUGGAAAAGGUAGCUAAUACCGCAUACCAUCGGAUGUGCCCAGAUUGGAUUAGCUAGUGGGUGGGGUAAAGGCUCACCUAGGCGACGAUCCCUAGCUGGUCUGAGAGGAUGACCAGCCACACUGGGACUGAGACACGGCCCAGACUCCUACGGGAGGCAGCAGUGGGGAAUAUUGCACAAUGGGCGCAAGCCUGAUACAGCCAUGCCGCGUGUAUGAAGAAGGCCUUCGGGUUGUAAAGUACUUUCAGCGAGGAGGCGUUACUCGAAGAAGAAGCACCGGCUAACUCCGUGCCAGCAGCCGCGGUAAUAC